UUGUAGGUUUUAGUGAUUGCUGGGUAAGACCUGGCACGUGAAAGCAAUUUGGAAACUGUAAAGCACUCCACAAAUGUAAGACGUUAACGUAUACAGGAGGGGAAAUAACGCAGGACUUGAACAGAGGGAGAAACCUCCCCAGCCUCUGAGAUGCUCAGGUCAGGAUGCGCGGUUCCUCCCCUCUGCCUGCCUCCCUCUCUUCCUUUGCCCCCUCGCCGGCCGGGGCGCGUGCCUUACAACAGCAGGCGCUCUGAUCCAAAUCGAUGGUUUUGUUGACUGUCGAUGCCGGGACAAGAGGCUGCAGCUUGGUGUCUUCAGGAAGGGCAGUGUCUGCUGAAGCCCUAACCCCCGUGCCUCAGAAUGUGACUGUAUUUGGAGAUGAGGUCUCUAAAGAGAUGACUCAGUUAUAUCAGGGUCUUCGGGGUUAGGCUCUAACCCAACCUGUCCUUACAAGAAGAGGACAUUUAAACACGCAGAUUGACACCCAGGGCACCUGUGCGCAGAGGGGCAGGAAGAGGCCGAGAGAGGGCCGUCGUCUCCAGGCCAAGAAAAGAGGCCUCAGAAGAAACCAAACCUGCCAACACCUUGAUCUUGGACAUCUAGCCUCCAGAAGUGUCAUUCUCAGCUAACACUGUCUGGCUUUUCAAAUCACUUUAUUUCUUGGAGUCCUGGUUCAUUUUUCUGGAAGUUCUGUUUUUAUUUUUUAUUUUAUUUUAAAUUUACUCAAAUACUUUCUCUCGUGUAGGGUAGAUGUCAAUUACAUUUUUCCCCUGAAUUCUUACAAGCUCCAAACAUCUCUGUUUGCCCUUUUACUUAAUUGACAGUUUGGCUGAGUAAAGAAUGUUAGGUUUCAAGGUCUCUGCUUCUCAGAACUUGACUCAGGGCUUCCUUCAUUGGCAUGAGACUUGUGCCCUCCAAGAAAGAAAGUGGCAUGAGAAUGACCUGGAAACAAAGGAAAUGGAAGAAAACAAGAGACCCCAUGCUUAGAAGGGCCUGUUUAAGGUUCUGCUGUCAUCAUCUUGAAAUUCUGAAUCAUUUUGAUCAUGAAUUCCCACACUUUCAUUUUCACCGAGCCCUGCAAAUUAUGAAGCUGGUCCAUCUUAAAAGACACUCAAGCAUCUAGCAAUGCUGAUAAUUCUGAAGCUCAACGAAUUCUUAUUCCUUGGUAGGCAACAUGCUCUCUUUCUGUAAACUUUCAAUUUACAUAAACAUUAUAUUUUUAUCUGAA
Myotis myotis is the source of this 1228-nucleotide long non-coding RNA. RefSeq lists it as uncharacterized. The transcript is spliced from 3 exons. The record is from RefSeq and is a predicted model, not a curated record. NCBI's taxonomy places the organism in Eukaryota, Metazoa, Chordata, Mammalia, Chiroptera, Vespertilionidae.